Molecule: long non-coding RNA, 1747 nt
Organism: Vigna angularis (adzuki bean)
Lineage: Eukaryota; Viridiplantae; Streptophyta; Magnoliopsida; Fabales; Fabaceae
Exons: 6
Source: RefSeq, a predicted model, not a curated record
CAACCAAUUUUGACAACAUUUUGACACGGGCCACGUGUCAAAAUGCCAUUGGUUCAGGUGGAAAAUGAUUUCAGAAUUUUAUUUGACGUGGAAAUGCAGUCAAGUGGCAGAGAGGUUUGAAAUUGGAGGGUUUUAUUUUCAGUUUUGGCAAUUUGAAUUUGGGGCAUUGGGAGAGAGAGAGAAGAGAAGGUUGAGAGAGAGCGGGAACCCUAGAGCGAGAGUGUCGUCGGAGUCCGUCUUCCUCGGACCAGUUCCUCCGACCACCCACGAGUUCCGCUGGAGUCCGUCUUCCUCGGACCAUCUAGGUGUGCCACCGGAGUCCGUCAUCGUCCGACCAGGCACGAGUUCCGCCGGAGUCCGUGUUGGGGCAUUGGGAGAGAGAGAAGAGAAGGUUGAGAGAGAGCGGGAACCCUAGAGCGAGAGUGCCGUCGGAGUCCGUCUUCCUCCGACCAGUUCCUCCGACCACCCACGAGUUCCGCCGGAGUCCGUCUUCGUUCAACCUAUAGCGUUCCCAUUGAGGGUCGCCGCAGCUCCGUCUUCGUCUUCCGUUCGACCCAGCCACGACUGCCGUCGGAGCUCGUCUUCUUCGACGUAUACCGUUCCGAUUGAGGGUCGCCGCAACUCCGUCUUCGUCUUCCGUUCGACCCAGCCAACCAAGCGUGCGUUUUCAGCGUCCAUUCCUCCCACCCUCUUCGUUCGACCUAUAGCGUUCCCAUUGAGGGUCGCCGCACCUCCUUCCGUUCGACCCAGCCAACCAAGCGCCCGUUUUCAGCGUCCGUUCCUCCCACCCGCUUCGUUCGACCUAUACCGUUCCCAUUGACGGUCGCCGCACCUCCUUCCGUUCGACCCAGCCAACCAAGCGCCCGUUUUCAGCGUCCGUUCCUCCCACCCUCUUCGUUCCCUGUGUCGGACCCACUGGCAAUCAUGUUCAUUAAAGUCAUGGAUUGCACAAAAGAAGAAGGUUACAAGAAUUUGCGGUUGCGGGCAUGGAGUGACACAAAACCAAUAGUGGACAUUAAUUGUAUACUACGCUAAAGUGAUAGGAAACCGAUCUUCACUAGCAGAGCAAUUAGCAUGUCUGACGUGUGAAAAUGCUAUAUUGUGAUCAAUUGUUCAUGUAGGAACCAUUACAUGCUUCCCUAGUUGUAUCAAUAAUUAUAAUUGGAGAGAAUCAUUGACAGGGCCUUUAUCGAAAAGUGAUGGAUAUUGAAACCAAACUUUUUUUUGUCAAUGCCACCUUGGUGACUGAGUUUUUCUUCAUUGAUGCAAUUUUCCAGCAAACACCAUCUGCUUUUGAUUGGAACUCCUCUCUAGGAUUACGACACAAUAGUAGUGGAAAGAAAGAUUGAACUAUCUAGAGGGCAGAAACAAUGGGUGGAAAUUGCACGAGAAUAGUGAAGAAUACAAAAAAUAUUACUACUAUAUGAGGCCAUUAGUGCAUUUGAUGCAUCUGAAAAAGUGGUUCAAGAUGCACUAGAGCGUGUUAUGGUGAAGCGAACCAUAAUAGUAGUGGCUCACAGGUUAUCCACUACAAAGGAUGUUGGUUUAAUUGUAGUAGUAAAAAGUUGUGUGAUAGCAUAGAAGGGAACACAUGAAGCAUUAGUGAGCAAUGAAGGUGAUUAUGCUUCCUUAGUAGCAUUGCACGCAAGUGUUUCUACAUUCUAGUUUGCUUUCACCUUUUGAUUUUAUCCGAGAAAUACCGCUCUGAAAUAUUUUCAUACCAAUAAUUUUGCAACUUUAAAUGUCA